Molecule: long non-coding RNA, 1640 nt
Filed under: Parus major (Great Tit)
Lineage: Eukaryota; Metazoa; Chordata; Aves; Passeriformes; Paridae
Description: lncRNA (ENSPMJG00000016766.1)
Source: RNAcentral
AUGAUGAAACAAUAUAAGCACAAGAUUAGUGGAAGACAUUGUGGCUCUGAAAAGCAGCUGUGCCUACGACUCUCCAAUGGUGGGAUAUCUGAACAGCCUCAAGCUGAGCAGGGAAUUGAACUGAGGACUCCCACAAUCUGUUCUCCCUGCUGUUUCUCAAUUGAAAACACAAUGUUACUCGCUAGAAAUGGCGGAGACAGGUCCUUAAAGACCAGGGGGAUCUGCACAGUGCCAGCAGCAGGACCCUACAGCUCACUGACAGUAACUCUGCUCUGCAAGGUGGAUGAAGUUGAACUGAACUGAUUGUGAGCCUAUGUGGUGUCUUCCUAAAAAUGACAGGUACAGUGCCCACAACUCCGUGUUAUUGAUGAUAACCUCGCCUACCCUCAGUACAACACUUUGGCCUUUCAGCAGAAAACUCAAAUGAGAUGUUCCCUACCUGCUGUUCCAAAUGCCAAAAGAAUCCACCUUACCUUUUCCAUGAGAAAUUAGAAAUUACCCCAUGAGGGAGGUUAUAAUCCACUGCCAAGUGGGAGAGUCACGAUUAACCAGAGCAACCUGAUUGAUCUCUGUGUGAGGUUUUCUGAAUGAAGCUCUGGUUGUUUUCCACUGCAACAAGCUGCACAGCAAGGUAACUUGUGGGGUGCUCUUAGGGAAAACUUAAAGACCACUCUGCUCAAGACUGUGUCCUCCCAAAUUAGAUCCACACUGGCAUGAUGAAGGAAGGACAAUUGAUCAGUCAAACAAACACCAAGGAUGUACUGACACAAUUCUCAGUCUUUGGCCCCAGCUGAAAGGUGAGAUGAAGAGCAAUGCACUCCUGCUUGUGUGACUCAGUCACAGUCCAGUGCUGUUAAAAAUAUUGCCUAUUUGAUCUACCUGAAAAGGAUCAUUUAUUGCUCCCCAAAAUCCUGUGACAUGAGACAGAGUAGCCAUGGGGACCUGUGAGCAUCAUUUUUUCACACAAAUGUUCUGGAUGUUCUGGACACACAAAAAUUUCCCUCCUUCCCCAGAAUUAGAUAUCUGCUCUCAGUUCUGGUUGUAAACUAUUGUGUAGUGUGUCUGUGUUUUGAUUAUCAUGAAAAUUAUACCCUGGAGCUAUCUGCACUGUGGUUCUCUGUGUGUCUCACUAAAGAGGUGAAUGAAAUCAUCUCUGGCAGUCCAGUUUGUACAGCGGCUGUCUAGGCAGUGCAUAAACAGGAUCCUUUUUAUUUACGUCAGUUGCAUAAAACCAAAAUUCUUUCCAAGGAUUUGCAUGUUCACAGGCCUAAUCAUGUUAGCACAGCACACAUUUGCAAAUUUACUCUCUGUCAAUUGCUGGAAUCUGGAAAUCUCUCUGAUUGCUGUUGGAGGCAUCACCAGUGCCAGAGGCAGUGGAGGGAGCAGGUAGGGGUGCAGCAGCUGAGGGUGUGAGCAGAGGAUGCACCCUUCCUUGCCAGCAAUGGAAAUGCCAGCUGAAUAGCAAAUGAUCUAUUGUUCCUGGUUAAGUAAAUAACACUAGCUUCCUAUCCCUCUGGAAGCUGUAUGUGUAAACCAAAGCUUCAUUCACCCCAGCUCCUACUCCUUAAUUGUUGUAUGUCCAUGUUCAGACUUGCACAAAAUGUGUAAAUCAAGGAAUAAUAAAGAGGGACAUAUUUCCA